Molecule: ribosomal RNA, 494 nt
Filed under: uncultured bacterium
Lineage: Bacteria
Description: partial 16S ribosomal RNA
Rfam family: Bacterial small subunit ribosomal RNA
Source: RNAcentral
GACGAACGCUGGCGGCGUGCUUAACACAUGCAAGUCGAACGGAAAGGCCUGCUUUCCCUUGUGGAUUGCGGGUACUCGAGUGGCGAACGGGCGAGUAACACGUGAGUGAUCUGCCCCCAACUUUGGUAUAAGCCUGGGAAACUAGGUCUAAUUCCCGAUAGGACUGCAGGGUGGUGCCUGUGGUGGAGAACGAUUUUCUAGUGGUUGGGGAUGAGCUCGCGGCCUAUCAGCUUGUUGGUGGGGUAAUGGCCUACCAAGGCGGCGACUGGUAGCCGGCCUGAGAGGGUGGACGGCCACAGUGGGACUGAGAUACGGCCCAGACGCCUAGGGGAGGCAGCAGUGGGGAAUAAUGCACAAUGGGCGGAAGCCUGAUGCAGCGACGCCGCGUGGGGGAUGACGGCCUUCGGGUUGUAAACUCCUUUCGACCGCGAGGAAGCCACCUGGUUGGAAGGGUGGUGACGGUAGUGGUAGAAGAAGCACCGGCUAACUACGUG